This 589-nucleotide ribosomal RNA is filed under the name uncultured bacterium. RNAcentral's name for it is "bacterial SSU rRNA". It matches the Rfam family "Bacterial small subunit ribosomal RNA", at positions 338 to 916 of the family's 1533-position model. The record is from RNAcentral.
CCUACGGGAGGCAGCAGUGGGGAAUUUUGGACAAUGGGCGCAAGCCUGAUCCAGCAAUGCCGCGUGCAGGAUGAAGGCCUUCGGGUUGUAAACUGCUUUUGUACGGAACGAAACGGUCUGCUCUAAUACAGUGGGCUAAUGACGGUACCGUAAGAAUAAGCACCGGCUAACUACGUGCCAGCAGCCGCGGUAAUACGUAGGGUGCGAGCGUUAAUCGGAAUUACUGGGCGUAAAGCGUGCGCAGGCGGUUAUAUAAGACAGAUGUGAAAUCCCCGGGCUCAACCUGGGACCUGCAUUUGUGACUGUAUAGCUAGAGUGCGGCAGAGGGGGAUGGAAUUCCGCGUGUAGCAGUGAAAUGCGUAGAUAUGCGGAGGAACACCGAUGGCGAAGGCAAUCCCCUGGGCCUGCACUGACGCUCAUGCACGAAAGCGUGGGGGAGCAAACAGGAUUAGAUACCCUGGUAGUCCACGCCCUAAACGAUGUCAACUGGUUGUUGGGUCUUCACUGACUCAGUAACGAAAGCUAACGCGUGAAGUUGACCGCCUUGGGGAGUACGGCCGCAAGGUUGAAACUUCAAAGGAAUUGACGG